Molecule: ribosomal RNA, 444 nt
Filed under: uncultured bacterium
Lineage: Bacteria
Description: partial 16S ribosomal RNA
Rfam family: Bacterial small subunit ribosomal RNA
Source: RNAcentral
AAUCAACGCUGGCGGCGCGCUUAACACAUGCAAGUCGCACGAGAAAGGGAGCAAUCCUGAGUAAAGUGGCGUACGGGUGAGUAACACGUGGGAAUCUACCUCUUGGCGGGGAAUAACCCUGGGAAACCGGGGCUAAUACCGCAUAAGCUCGUGAGAGGAAAGCAGCAAUGCACCGAGAGAGGAGCCCGCGGCCGAUUAGCUAGUUGGUGGGGUAAUGGCUCACCAAGGCGAAGAUCGGUAGCCGGCCUGAGAGGGCACACGGCCACACUGGCACUGAAACACGGGCCAGACUCCUACGGGAGGCAGCAGUGGGGAAUCUUGCACAAUGGGGGAAACCCUGAUGCAGCGACGCCGCGUGAGCGAUGAAGCCCUUCGGGGUGUAAAGCUCUUUCGACAGGAACGAUAAUGACGGUACCUGGAGAAGAAGCGGCGGCUAACUACGUG